This is a long non-coding RNA of Cryptomeria japonica (Japanese cedar), 2298 nucleotides long. RefSeq lists it as uncharacterized. The transcript has 2 exons. NCBI's taxonomy places the organism in Eukaryota, Viridiplantae, Streptophyta, Pinopsida, Cupressales, Cupressaceae. The record is from RefSeq and is a predicted model, not a curated record.
AGAAGCGUAUACGAUUCUUACCAUUUCAGGAAUUGUGAUGUCUAGGGGGUGCUUUCUAAAGUUUUCAUCCGACCUAAACAAAAUUAGGUUUAAUUUUUAGCUGGAAUUAUCUCCUUGAAAUUGCCCCUUUUUAUCUUUAAAAAAGGCCAUUCUUCUUCAGAUCUGAGGGUGGAGGGUUUUCUCCGAACGGGCGUCGCCAUUUUUUCUGAGGAAAACGGGCCUGUAUAUUGACUUCUGUUGAUAUUCAUCGUAGCCCCGUUCUCUGCUAUUGAUUAGUAGUUUCCAUCAAUAAAUCUGUGGAAAAUAGGGUUUUAUAGAGAGCGGCCAGUUGCUUUUUAAAGCGCAAAAGAGAAAGACAUGGUUGGUAUAGAGAGGGAUAAGAUGUAGCAGAAGGGCACCAGGCAUGGGAGGGAUGGUAAGAUUCAGUCCAUAUAAAAAUGGGAGUGUAGUCUUCCCCGAUCCUCCCAUGCCCGUAGUCCUCCCUACAUAUCCCUUUCAUUUCACCCUAUUCCAAGAAAUCUACGCUACAGGAAUUCUGAUGCAGGAGUGACUGUAGGAUCACGUAUGAUCAGCACAAAGAAAAAGAGAUAUAUAAAAUUUUGUUUUGUUUUAGUUUUUAAAUUUUUGCAGAUGGAUGACGUCGUUCGUUAAUUCCAAGAUGGACCUGCCUUUUUUGGUUCGAUGAUCAUCAAUUGGGUGGUUGAUGUGGUUCCUUAAUUCCAAGAUGGACUUUCUUAAGUUGGAUCGUCACCAAUUGGAUCGCUGAUGUGGUGCUAUUGAUUUCCACUAUAUAUCAGAUCUUAUUCACACAAGCUCAAUAAGUUUCCAAGUAGUUGAGAUUGGUGAAAGCAGACCUAAAUGAAGUAUAAUUAUGUACCAUUUGAUUAUUUUUCUCCGGCAAUUGAAGAGUUGCUUUCCUGUGUUUCUGCAUACGAGAUCUUUUAUUGGUUGCACGUUGAUUUGCUUGGAUUUGAGGGAUCAAGUAUUAAAACAGAGCAUUGUAGCAUUGUCAAUCUAAGAAAGAGGUGAGAAGUAUUAGUAUGUGUCGUGGGCCCAAGUUGUUGUAACUGGAAUUUGUUUCCGUGGGAGUCUGGGAAUUUUGUUCCAUUUUUGUUUGGAUGUAAUAAUACUGAGAUUGCCUGUUGUUCUGAGGCUGAUUAUUUGCUUUGUAUCUGAAGUUGUAAAAUUUAUUAAACUCUGUUCACUUCUCUGUUCACUUCUCUUUUUAUGAGUUUCUUAUAUUAUAGCCUUUGUUGUGUAACUGUGAUCCAUGCUGCCUGGAGUCCAUUGGAUUUAUCUGACCCACUCCAGCUAUUAUGCCAAGUGAUGUCAAAGCAUUCUGAAGUAUCUUGAAGGUGAAGAAUGGUUCACAGAGGCAGAGGAAGAUGUGUAUUUUUUUAGAGUGGAAGAGGCCGCAAGAAUGUCAGAAACAUUUAGUUAUUGGAAACUAUCAAUCCAUGGAAAACUGCCCAACGAAGAAUAGAGGCAAGAGUAAGUGAUUCAGAAGAAAAUGAAGAAAAAGAAUGAGAGAAAAGAGAACGUGAAGAAAGGGUAAUUAGGGUUAUUGCUCUCCCAAUUUAGGAUGGAUUUUCCUUAUCAUGUGGGUAAAAUAUAUACCAUCAAGGGAAGAGGUACACAAAUUAUUAGGGGAAGAGCACCAGUAGCUGUCAUAGCUAAGCAUCCACAGAUAAUCAGUUAUGCAUUUCAAAGUGUCGCUUGAUACCUAAUUAAAGAUGUUCAAGUAACGGUCAACUCAAAAUCGCUAGUAUUUGUGCACAAAUGUCCCAAUAGUGGUGCACAAAUGGGUCAAUUAUGAACAAAAAAUACAAAAAAUGAUUGGCUAUUUGUACAAAACCAAUUUAUUAACGGUUCACUAUGAUGAUUAUUGAGGGGUCAACAUGACAAUAAGAUGAGACGGUUAUUGGAGCUAUGUUAUCUAUUGAUGCUCUUCCCCUAACAUCUUUUGUGAAAGGAUAUUAUGAUUCCUAGUAAAUCCGUUUUACAAUGUUGAUGUCACAGAUGCUAGCUUCCUUAACAAUGUUUCUUGCCUUAAAUCCCGAUCCUGCAUAUCUGGUCCACAAAUUUACUGAAUUCAGUUUCAUCAAGUUGUUCAUCCAUUUUGCCUUCGUCUACUCCUUGCUUAAAACACAUUGCAAAAUGUGCACAUAACUAGUUGCUGCAAUGGUGAAAUGCUACCUGCUGGUAAAAAUGGCUGUAAAAUAUCCUUCCAUCAGAUGGUUAUUUAAAGGAUGGGUAUAUUAAUUUCAAAUAAUCUUGAAUAUCUUCCUUGCUUUGAAA